UACGUAGGUGGCAAGCGUUGUCCGGAUUUACUGGGUGUAAAGGGCGUGCAGCCGGAGAGACAAGUCAGAUGUGAAAUCCACGGGCUCAACCCGUGAACUGCAUUUGAACUGUUUCCCUUGAGUGUCGGAGAGGUAAUCGGAAUUCCUUGUGUAGCGGUGAAAUGCGUAGAUAUAAGGAAGAACACCAGUGGCGAAGGCGGAUUACUGGACGAUAACUGACGGUGAGGCGCGAAAGCGUGGGGAGCAAACAGGG
RNAcentral lists this ribosomal RNA (253 nucleotides) under uncultured bacterium. RNAcentral's name for it is "partial 16S ribosomal RNA". It matches the Rfam family "Bacterial small subunit ribosomal RNA", at positions 524 to 777 of the family's 1533-position model. The record is from RNAcentral.